This 509-nucleotide long non-coding RNA is filed under the name Mustela putorius furo (domestic ferret). RNAcentral describes it as "lncRNA (ENSMPUG00000030746.1)". The record is from RNAcentral. Lineage: Eukaryota; Metazoa; Chordata; Mammalia; Carnivora; Mustelidae.
CUCCCUGCUUCCAGAGACAAUCAUUUCUGAUUUCCAUGAUCAUAGAUGAGCCCUGCCCAUUCUAGAACUUCACAUAAAUGAAAUCACAGAGUGGACAUUCUUCUGGCCCCAUUCUUCUGUCUGGCUUUCUUUUUUGCUUACUAUGUUUUUUGGGUUCAUCUAUGGUGUUGUAGGCACCUUGACAGACAUCCCUGCAAAAACACUCUGGUUGCUCAGGUGUGAUCUCCAGAAGGGACGUCUCUGUGACCUAGACAUCAGGCCCCAGUAAGGGGAACCUCUCAACUAUGUCCAUGAAGGCUGUGCGAAAAAGCUGCAGAGAAGUGAUGGGCUACAAGCAAGCUGAGGCGCGCAAGAAACACUCGGGACAACAGCCGACAUAACAGGAGAAAGGUAAUAAAGAGGGGAGAAGAAUCUGUAGUUAAUGGGCACGGCAGUCAGAGGCCACUUCCCACACAGCCAAACAGCCCCACAUUACUCCAGGAGCCCUGGAGAACAUUCUUGAAUACAAG